CGACGCAACGCGCAGAACCUUACCUGGUCUUAGACAUCCCGAGAAUCUUCUGGAAACAGUUGAGUGCCUUCAACCGAAGGAGCUUGGAGACAGGUGCUGCAUGGCUGUCGUCAGCUCGUGUCGUGAGAUGUUGGGUUAAGUCCCGCAACGAGCGCAACCCUCGCCUUUAGUUGCCAGCAUUAAGUUGGGCACUCUAGAGGGACUGCCGGUGUCAAACCGGAGGAAGGUGGGGAUGACGUCAAGUCCUCAUGGCCUUUAUGACCAGGGCUACACACGUACUACAAUGGCCGGCACAAAGGGCAGCAAGCCUGCGAAGGUAAGCUAAUCCCGAAAAACCGGUCUCAGUCCGGAUCGCAGUCUGCAACUCGACUGCGUGAAGUUGGAAUCGCUAGUAAUCGUGGAUCAGCAUGCCACGGUGAAUACGUUCCCGGGCCUU
Molecule: ribosomal RNA, 436 nt
Filed under: uncultured Desulfovibrio sp.
Lineage: Bacteria; Pseudomonadati; Thermodesulfobacteriota; Desulfovibrionia; Desulfovibrionales; Desulfovibrionaceae
Description: bacterial SSU rRNA
Rfam family: Bacterial small subunit ribosomal RNA
Source: RNAcentral